Mycobacterium sp. 852002-51759_SCH5129042 is the source of this 68-nucleotide non-coding RNA. Lineage: Bacteria; Bacillati; Actinomycetota; Actinomycetes; Mycobacteriales; Mycobacteriaceae. The record is from Rfam.
UCGGUUCCGGUUCACGUCCAGCACGGCAGCACGGCAGAUACAGCCGUGGGCCGGGGCGACCCGGGGCC